RNAcentral lists this ribosomal RNA (502 nucleotides) under uncultured bacterium. Its description in RNAcentral is "partial 16S ribosomal RNA". It matches the Rfam family "Bacterial small subunit ribosomal RNA", at positions 29 to 507 of the family's 1533-position model. The record is from RNAcentral.
AGCGAACGCUGGCGGCGUGCCUAACACAUGCAAGUCGAACGUGAAAGGGAGCACUCCCAAGUAAAGUGGCGUACGGGUGAGUAACACGUAGGUAAUCUACCCCAGAAUCUGGAAUAACCGGCCGAAAGGCUGGCUAAUACUGGAUAGAGCGACGGAAUCCGUAAUUGGGUUUUUCGGGAAAGGGAGCCUGUAAAAAGGCCUUCGUUCUGGGAUGAGCCUGCGUCCCAUCAGCUAGUUGGUGAGGUAAAAGCUUACCAAGGCAAUGACGGGUAGCUGGUCUGAGAGGACGAUCAGCCACACUGGAACUGAAACACGGUCCAGACUCCUACGGGAGGAAGCAGUGGGGAAUCUUGCGCAAUGGACGAAAGUCUGACGCAGCAACGCCGCGUGAGUGAAGAAGGCCUUCGGGUUGUAAAGCUCUGUCGAGUGGGACGAAAAUGCUUGGAGUUAACAGCUCCAGGAACUGACGGUACCACUAAAGGAAGCACCGGCUAACUCCGUG